This 769-nucleotide ribosomal RNA is filed under the name uncultured bacterium. RNAcentral's name for it is "bacterial SSU rRNA". It matches the Rfam family "Bacterial small subunit ribosomal RNA", at positions 28 to 905 of the family's 1533-position model. The record is from RNAcentral.
GAUGAACGCUGGCGGCAUGCCAAGACAUGCAAGUCGAACGAAGUGGCAGACGGGUGAGUAACACGUGGGUAACCUACCUUCAAGCUGGGGAUAACAGUUGGAAACGACUGAUAAUACCGAAUACUUAAAGAUGGGCCUGCGGCGUAUUAACUAGUUGGUGAGGUAAUGGCUCACCAAGGUAACGAUGCGUAGCCGAACUGAGAGGUUGAUCGGCCACACUGGGACUGAGACACGGCCCAGACUCUACGGGAGACAGCAGUUAGGAAUAUUCGUCAAUGGGGGAAACCCUGAACGAGCAAUGCCGCGUGAGUGAUGAAGGCCCUAUGGUUGUAAAACUCUGUUGUAUGGGAAGCGGUACCAUACCAGAAAGCUCCGGCUAACUACGUGCCAGCAGCCGCGGUAAUACGUAGGGAGCGAGCGUUAUCCGGAUUUAUUGGGCGUAAAGCGUGCGUAGGCGGCUUAUUAAGUUUAAGAUAAAAGCCCGGGGCUCAACUCCGGUUCGUCUUAAAAACUGGUAGGCUUGAGUGUGGUAGAGGUAAAUGGAAUUUCUAGUGUAGCGGUGAAAUGCGUAGAUAUUAGAAGGAACACCAGUGGCGAAGGCGAUUUACUGGGCCAUAACUGACGCUGAGGCACGAAAGCGUGGGGAGCAAAUAGGAUUAGAUACCCUAGUAGUCCACGCCGUAAACGAUGAGUACUAAGUGUUGGCAGUGCUGAAGCUAACGUAUUAAGUACUCCGCCUGAGUAGUACGGUCGCAAGGUGCAGCUCAAA